Molecule: non-coding RNA, 1817 nt
Organism: Lactuca sativa (garden lettuce)
Lineage: Eukaryota; Viridiplantae; Streptophyta; Magnoliopsida; Asterales; Asteraceae
Source: RefSeq, a predicted model, not a curated record
UGCAUAAAUAUACGUCAAUCAAAAUUUAAAAAAUAAAUAAAUAAUCAAACAAAUAAAUAUGGAUAAUUCAAUAAUUUGAUAAAAAAUUUCUACAAAUACACUCAUUAUGGUAAUUGCUUUGACCUGUCUUUAUCCAUUUUUAAAACGAUCAACAAUCCCUUUUUAAAAUGAUCAACGCACUAUAUUCUAUCCCAUUGAUCCUCCUUAACCCUAGCUCCAAUACAGAUAAAAAAAUAUGUCUCCCCAAAAUCACCAGGUUAAAUCCAUCGCCCACAGAAGAUCGUCACCAACAUCAUUUGCUGUUGUCGUCGAUCGCUUUCAGAUCGUGUUCGGAACUCCCUCACUGGAGAUAAACCUCCGCGUUUGAAGGAGAAAAUUAAGACGCGGGUCAAUCGCAUUUUGGUAGAGAAGAAAUAUCUUGAAUCGAAGAAUCCUAAGGUGGGUGCGAAAUAUGUAUUACGAGAUGGGGUUCGAGAUGUCAUCAAAUUAGGGAACCUCCUUACAGCGAGGUGUCUAAGUGUUUGUACGUCGGUGGGUGGCCUUUUUCGCUGGACAAAAUGUUGUCGGGUAACCCUGCUGUAAUAGAUUGCACCUGUGAGUUACCUGGGUUUCUGGUUUAUCUAAAAAUGGUUAUCUUUGUGUUCCGACGUGGGAUACAAGGUCUUCGGAUCCAGGUGCCAUGGAUCGUCUGUUCGAUGGGCUUGGAGAAAGAGAACUCAGAAUACUCUUAUCUUCAUUUAUUGUGCUUAUGGUAAUUCAAAUUCAUUUCAUCCUUACUAAUACAGUAAUACUAUACCUCUUCAUUAACGAUAUCAUUACACUAAAACCAUCAAUCUUAAUUCUGAUAUGAUUUUAACCAAGGCCAUAGAAAUGAUGAGAAAUUAAUCAAAGAAAAACGACCUUAUAUUCGAAUGAAUGCUCUUCACCGGAAAGCCUUGAAAGAAUGGUCAAUGAACCAGUUAUCUCCUCACCAAAAUGGAUCCAAUGCACGUUAUUGAUUAGGUGUUCAAUUGUUUCGGGCAAUAUUUAUGUCUCCACUUUGAGUCCAGAGUCAAGUUUUCAAGCCCAAAGAUCAAAGUAAAAGCAAGGCAGCUAAGUGACGACAAAACACCCACCAGGUGUUGGAAAACCCAUUGUUGGACUUGAUCAACUCAAUAAAGUAAACAAUUGUAGUCUAGUGCCAUGGACAGGGGCAAAAUCGUCAAACAAGGCAAGAUUGUUCUUAUGUGUAAUUGGUAUUUGGUAUUUUUCUAAUUAUAUUAUUUGGUUUUUUUAUCGUACAACAGGAACGUGUUUUUAUACACCGUAAGAUUGCCCAUUUGGUUCAGUAAUCUUAACUCUCACUUUCACUUUUGAUUUUCAAAUUCAUUAUGCUUGGUUGUGAAAUUGAUUUUAUACAGGUAGCAAGAACAACUGUGUUUUUUCAAAUUCAACCUUGGUUAUGAAUUGAUUCAUAUUUCAAUUUAUGUUUUUUUUUUUUCCUGAUUUAACACUUCAUUUAUGUGGACAAUGCAAGAUCUUGACAAAGUUGAAUUCUGAAUUGGAAUGGGAUGACGAAUUCCAAUUCUGUUGGAAUGGAAUGAUAAAUUCCAAUUCUGUUCGAAUCAUAGAAGUUGAUGCUUCAAAAACGGACCACAUUAUUCUUUUAGAAUGUAUUAGUCGUUGUUAGAUUUUGAUGUUUUCUUCCCCGUUUUGAUUGUUUUUUUAGUUUUAUUCUUUAACAAUAAAUGUAAUUCUUAACAAUUGUUAACCGUAUUCUAUAAGAAAUAAUGUAUUUUUUGUUUUUAUUCUUCACUUGAUUGUUCAAGAUUUUGUUA